UACGGAGGGUGCAAGCGUUAUCCGGAAUCAUUGGGUUUAAAGGGUCCGUAGGCGGGUCAUUAAGUCAGAGGUGAAAUCCCACAGCUUAACUGUGGAACUGCCUUUGAUACUGGUGGUCUUGAGUUUUAGUGAAGUAGAUAGAAUGUGUAGUGUAGCGGUGAAAUGCUUAGAUAUUACACAGAAUACCGAUUGCGAAGGCAGUCUACUAACUAACAACUGACGCUAAUGGACGAAAGCGUGGGGAGCGAACAGG
RNAcentral lists this ribosomal RNA (253 nucleotides) under uncultured bacterium. RNAcentral's name for it is "partial 16S ribosomal RNA". It matches the Rfam family "Bacterial small subunit ribosomal RNA", at positions 524 to 776 of the family's 1533-position model. The record is from RNAcentral.